GUGAGUAAUGCCUAGGAAUCUGCCUGGUAGUGGGGGAUAACGCUCGGAAACGGACGCUAAUACCGCAUACGUCCUACGGGAGAAAGCAGGGGACCUUCGGGCCUUGCGCUAUCAGAUGAGCCUAGGUCGGAUUAGCUAGUUGGUGAGGUAAUGGCUCACCAAGGCGACGAUCCGUAACUGGUCUGAGAGGAUGAUCAGUCACACUGGAACUGAGACACGGUCCAGACUCCUACGGGAGGCAGCAGUGGGGAAUAUUGGACAAUGGGCGAAAGCCUGAUCCAGCCAUGCCGCGUGUGUGAAGAAGGUCUUCGGAUUGUAAAGCACUUUAAGUUGGGAGGAAGGGCAGUAAAUUAAUACUUUGCUGUUUUGACGUUACCGACAGAAUAAGCACCGGCUAACUCUGUGCCAGCAGCCGCGGUAAUACAGAGGGUGCAAGCGUUAAUC
RNAcentral lists this ribosomal RNA (444 nucleotides) under Pseudomonas sp. RNAcentral describes it as "bacterial SSU rRNA". It matches the Rfam family "Bacterial small subunit ribosomal RNA", at positions 106 to 546 of the family's 1533-position model. The record is from RNAcentral. Lineage: Bacteria; Pseudomonadati; Pseudomonadota; Gammaproteobacteria; Pseudomonadales; Pseudomonadaceae.